UUGGGAAUAUUGCACAAUGGGCGCAAGCCUGAUGCAGCCAUGCCGCGUGUGUGAAGAAGGCCUUCGGGUUGUAAAGCACUUUCAGCGGGGAGGAAGGCGAUAAGGUUAAUAACCUUGUCGAUUGACGUUACCCGCAGAAGAAGCACCGGCUAACUCCGUGCCAGCAGCCGCGGUAAUACGGAGGGUGCAAGCGUUAAUCGGAAUUACUGGGCGUAAAGCGCACGCAGGCGGUCUGUCAAGUCGGAUGUGAAAUCCCCGGGCUUAACCUGGGAACUGCAUUCGAAACUGGCAGGCUAGAGUCGUGUAGAGGGGGGUAGAAUUCCAGGUGUAGCGGUGAAAUGCGUAGAGAGCUGUAGGAAUACCGGUGGCGAAGGCGGCCCCCUGGACAAAGACUGACGCUCAGGUGCGAAAGCGUGGGGAGCAAACAGG
RNAcentral lists this ribosomal RNA (429 nucleotides) under Chloroflexota bacterium. Its description in RNAcentral is "Chloroflexi bacterium partial 16S ribosomal RNA". It matches the Rfam family "Bacterial small subunit ribosomal RNA", at positions 355 to 776 of the family's 1533-position model. The record is from RNAcentral. Lineage: Bacteria; Bacillati; Chloroflexota.